UACGACCAUUUCACAUUGAAAUACUCUGUCCUGUACGAUAACCGAAGUUAAGCAACAUUGAGCCUGGCCAGUAUCUAGAUGGAUGACCACUUGGGAAUACCAGGUGCUGUAUG
Molecule: non-coding RNA, 113 nt
Organism: Acanthosepion pharaonis
Lineage: Eukaryota; Metazoa; Mollusca; Cephalopoda; Sepiida; Sepiidae
Source: the annotation of a GenBank genome assembly